AUUGAACGCUGGCGGCAGGCCUAACACAUGCAAGUCGAGCGGAUGAAGGGAGCUUGCUCCUGGAUUCAGCGGCGGACGGGUGAGUAAUGCCUAGGAAUCUGCCUGGUAGUGGGGGAUAACGUCCGGAAACGGGCGCUAAUACCGCAUACGUCCUGAGGGAGAAAGUGGGGGAUCUUCGGACCUCACGCUAUCAGAUGAGCCUAGGUCGGAUUAGCUAGUUGGUGGGGUAAAGGCCUACCAAGGCGACGAUCCGUAACUGGUCUGAGAGGAUGAUCAGUCACACUGGAACUGAGACACGGUCCAGACUCCUACGGGAGGCAGCAGUGGGGAAUAUUGGACAAUGGGCGAAAGCCUGAUCCAGCCAUGCCGCGUGCAGGAAGACAGCCCUCUGGGUCGUAAACUGCUUUUAUUCGGGAAUAAACCUUUCUACGUGUAGGAAGCUGAAUGUACCGAAGGAAUAAGGAUCGGCUAACUCCGUGCCAGCCGCCGCUGUAAU
Molecule: ribosomal RNA, 496 nt
Filed under: uncultured bacterium
Lineage: Bacteria
Description: bacterial SSU rRNA
Rfam family: Bacterial small subunit ribosomal RNA
Source: RNAcentral